Long non-coding RNA from Rhinichthys klamathensis goyatoka, 444 nucleotides. RefSeq lists it as uncharacterized. The transcript has 2 exons. Lineage: Eukaryota; Metazoa; Chordata; Actinopteri; Cypriniformes; Leuciscidae. The record is from RefSeq and is a predicted model, not a curated record.
GAGGAAAAAAGUCAGAAUUGUGAGAUAAAAACCUCAGAUUCUGAGGAAAGAUUCUGAAUGGUAAUAUAUAAACUUGGAAUUCUGAGGAAAAAAGUGAGAUAUAAACUUGUGAAAUUGUGUGAAAACAAAUUCAGAAGAAGAGCUUCCACAGAUUGAGCCCUUAAGUGUCAAGCUGACGAAGAUCUGAUGACAUCUAUGAAUGAAAUUAAAGGACUGUUUUUAUUUAACCUUAUAAAUUAUUGAUGCAAAAUGUCCAACUACAUGUUCACAUUUAUAUAUUCAGCGGAGGCUUUAUGGCGAGAAACUUUAAACUGUUUGCAACCAUUUCAUUUUUUCUAAAUGUCUUAAAUUAUUUUUGUAUUUCUAUGCCUUUUGAUAUCUAGAUCUCCUUAUUAUCCAUCUACGUACUAUAUCUAGAUAUUAAUAAUAAAGAUAUUUAAAUGU